Molecule: ribosomal RNA, 484 nt
Filed under: uncultured bacterium
Lineage: Bacteria
Description: partial 16S ribosomal RNA
Rfam family: Bacterial small subunit ribosomal RNA
Source: RNAcentral
AUUGAACGCUGGCGGCAGGCCUAACACAUGCAAGUCGAGCGGAUGAAGGGAGCUUGCUCCUGGAUUCAGCGGCGGGCGGGUGAGUAAUGCCUAGGAAUCUGCCUGGUAGUGGGGGAUAACGUCCGGAAACGGGCGCUAAUACCGCAUACGUCCUGAGGGAGAAAGUGGGGGAUCUUCGGACCUCACGCUAUCAGAUGAGCCUAGGUCGGAUUAGCUAGUUGGUGGGGUAAAGGCCUACCAAGGCGACGAUCCGUAACUGGUCUGAGAGGAUGAUCAGUCACACUGGAACUGAGACACGGUCCAGACUCCUACGGGAGGCAGCAGUGGGGAAUAUUGGACAAUGGGCGAAAGCCUGAUCCAGCCAUACCGCGUGUGUGAAGAAGGUCUUCGGAUUGUAAAGCACUUUAAGUUGGGAGGAAGGGCAGUAAGUUAAUACCUUGCUGUUUUGACGUUACCAACAGAAUAAGCACCGGCUAACUUCGUG